CUUGAGAAGAAACUGUCAGGACGUUUUAUAAAGGAGUUGUUCCAUUUUUCACUCCCUCCAGAAACAUGUCAACGCCCCUUGAAGAAAAGAAGGCAAUCAGGCUAACGUGACAUGGGUGGGGGAUUACGCCCACCUCAGGCCAGGUCAUCCCUUCCCCAUCCCGUGAAUGUCCGUCACGAGAGCAGAUCUAGUGAGCGCAUCCCUGGCAGGGGGACCAACUUGUGCAACUUGUGAAGACGGCACCUUCCACCUCUAGAGAGGCUGUGUCCAAGACUGCCCAGCACCAUGAUGGAGCACACAAGGGGAAGCCCUUCCU
This 316-nucleotide long non-coding RNA is filed under the name Equus caballus (horse). Its description in RNAcentral is "lncRNA (ENSECAG00000047447.1)". The record is from RNAcentral. Lineage: Eukaryota; Metazoa; Chordata; Mammalia; Perissodactyla; Equidae.